This 439-nucleotide ribosomal RNA is filed under the name uncultured bacterium. RNAcentral's name for it is "bacterial SSU rRNA". It matches the Rfam family "Bacterial small subunit ribosomal RNA", at positions 40 to 488 of the family's 1533-position model. The record is from RNAcentral.
CGGUGCGCCUUAUGCAUGCAAGUCGAGCGAAGCUUUUCAGUAGUUUACUACAGAAAAUGACUGAGCGGCGAACGGGUGAGUAACGCGUGAGCAAUCUACCUUAGUUACAGGGAUAGCCCGAGGAAACUCGGAUUAAUACCUGAUAUUCUUUACAUUUCGCAUGAAAUCAAAAGGAAAGGUCAGCCGAACUAAGAUGAGCUCGCGUUCUAUCAGCUAGUUGGUGAGGUAAAAGCUCACCAAGGCAACGACGGAUAGCUGGUCUGAGAGGACGAUCAGCCACACUGGGACUGAGACACGGCCCAGACUCCUACGGGAGGCUGCAGCAGGGAAUAUUGCGCAAUGAGCGAAAGCUUGACGCAGCGACACCGCGUGUGGGAUGACGGAUCUAGGUUUGUAAACCACUUUCAGGAGGGAAGAAAAUGACGGUACCUCCACAAGA